Molecule: ribosomal RNA, 292 nt
Filed under: uncultured Micrococcaceae bacterium
Lineage: Bacteria; Bacillati; Actinomycetota; Actinomycetes; Micrococcales; Micrococcaceae
Description: partial 16S ribosomal RNA
Rfam family: Bacterial small subunit ribosomal RNA
Source: RNAcentral
GUGUCAGCCGCCGCGGUAAUACGUAGGGUGCGAGCGUUGUCCGGAAUUAUUGGGCGUAAAGAGCUCGUAGGCGGUUUGUCGCGUCUGCUGUGAAAGCCCGGGGCUUAACCCCGGGUGUGCAGUGGGUACGGGCAGACUAGAGUGCAGUAGGGGAGACUGGAAUUCCUGGUGUAGCGGUGGAAUGCGCAGAUAUCAGGAGGAACACCGAUGGCGAAGGCAGGUCUCUGGGCUGUCACUGACGCUGAGGAGCGAAAGCAUGGGGAGCGAACAGGAUUAGAUACCCUCGUAGUCC